This 219-nucleotide long non-coding RNA is filed under the name Elaeis guineensis (African oil palm). RNAcentral describes it as "long non-coding RNA (EGUI_LNC070837)". Lineage: Eukaryota; Viridiplantae; Streptophyta; Magnoliopsida; Arecales; Arecaceae. The record is from RNAcentral.
AUUCAAUCGCAUUUCUACUUGUGCAUCUGCUAAAAAAAUAUGGGAUAGGUUAGAAGUCACCCAUGAGGGAACAAAUCAAGUAAAAGAGUCUAAAAUAAACAUGCUUGCAUUCCUGCCUUAGGGAAUUAAUAUUGAAUUAAAGUCUUUGUUUUGUUCUUCAUAAGUAAUCUGUUGGACUUAAAAUUUUUUAGAAACCCAAUUCACCCCCCCUCUUGGGUU